RNAcentral lists this ribosomal RNA (1125 nucleotides) under Triticum aestivum (bread wheat). RNAcentral describes it as "partial small subunit ribosomal RNA". Lineage: Eukaryota; Viridiplantae; Streptophyta; Magnoliopsida; Poales; Poaceae. The record is from RNAcentral.
AUGCAAGCAUUUUGAGACCGCCUAGAAAUCUGUGAGCUGACUGGUUUGGGCUUCACAGGGGUGCCCCAUAAAUAUGAAAACAAGAGGGCAGGUAACUAAAAUGUAAAAGUACGCCUGGACAGAGCCUGUGCUAACCCCGCUUGGAGAAACAUGUUUGAAAACAAUUCUAUUCGGCACCUUGUUUCAUCAUGUUCAGACCAUUCUCCUCUUCUGGUUGGCUAUGACAUACUUGUUGAUCAGCAUGUGCGACCACGGCUGCGGCAAUAUGAGGUCAUGUGGGAGAGGGAACUAGCUAUUCAGGACGUAAUACAUAAAGCAUGGGUGCAAGCAGGUUCAAAACAAUCCUUGGGUGAUGUACACCAUGCACUUCGGGGUACCAUGCUUAAAUUGUGUCAAUGUAGCAAGGAAAAAUUUGGAAGUGUAACACGAGAAACUUAGAAAUCUCGUACACAACUCGAGGAACUUAUGUUGAUGAAUGCAGACAAAAUGGAGAUACGAAGAUUAACCGAUUGAAUGAAUGAGCUGCUAUACAGGGAAGAGCUUAUGUGGAUGCAGCGAUCAAGGAUUACAUGGCUGAAAGAUGGGGAGAUGAAGACAAAUUUUUUUCAGUCAAAGUCAGUAUGGCGUGCAAGAAAGAACAUAAUCAAAAAACUAGAGGAUCACAAAGAUAACACUUUUACUACUCAAAAGGAGAUGAGCACAACAACCUCUAGUUACUUUCAGCACAUAUCCAAUGCAGGCAAGGAAUUGGAUCCGUCGCUAGUUGUGGAUUUGUUUGAGUCAAAGAUCUCUGAUGAGACAAAUGAAAAUCUAUGUAAAGAUUUCACUGAUAAAGAAAUCUCAGACGCAUUAUUCCAGAUAGGCCCUUUGGAGGCAUCGGGUCCUGAUGGCUUUCCAGCGAGGUUUUUCCAGCGAAACUUGGGGACCCUAAGAGAGGAAGUUAUUGCGGCUGUUAAGGAAUUCUUCCGGACUACUAUCAUGCCCCCUGAGGUAAAUGAUACGAUUAUUGUUAUAAUUAGGGCUGGAAAAAAAGCUCGAAGCUCGCAAGCUAAACAAGUAGCUCGUGACUCGGCUCGAAUCGACUCGAACUCGAAGAAUAACGAGUCGAGCCGAGCUUUAGUUUAA